RNAcentral lists this ribosomal RNA (1010 nucleotides) under Proteocephalus perplexus. RNAcentral's name for it is "eukaryotic LSU rRNA". It matches the Rfam family "Eukaryotic large subunit ribosomal RNA", at positions 63 to 635 of the family's 3401-position model. The record is from RNAcentral. Lineage: Eukaryota; Metazoa; Platyhelminthes; Cestoda; Proteocephalidea; Proteocephalidae.
AACUAACCAGGAUUCCCCUAGUAACGGCGAGUGAAGAGGGAAAAGCCCAGCACCGAAGCCUGCGGCAGGUUUGCUGUUAGGCAAUGUGGUGUUUGGGUCGGCUCGUGGGACUACCACUCCACUCGAAGUCCAGCAUUGAGUAUGGUUACUGGAUUUGGCCCAGAGAGGGUGAAAGGCCCGUACGGGUGGAGUAUCAGACAUGUGAGGUGGUUCACCAGGUCGACCUUAGAGUCGGGUUGUUUGGGAAUGCAGCCCAAAGUGGGUGGUAAACUCCAUCCAAGGCUAAAUACAAGCACGAGUCCGAUAGCGAACAAGUACCGUGAGGGAAAGUUGAAAAGUACUCUGAAGAGAGAGUAAACAGUACGUGAAACCGCAUGCAGGUAAACGGGUGGCGUCAAGCUGCAAGCCCGGAGAAUUCAGCCGGCUAGGUUGUUGUGUAUGCGCCUGGCGCAUCCAUCAGUCAGAGUAUGAUUGGGUAGUCCACUAGUAAACAGUGGGCCUGUCCGCAAGGUCAGGAUAUGUGUACCGGGUGGGUGCCGGAGCAUGCUACCCGUCUGAGGACUGUCUAGCCGGUGCACUUUCUCCGUGGUCAACACCACGACCGGUGGUAUUGCCAGUCUGCUGUGUCCAAGUCGCAUUUGGUAGGUCCUUGUGGCCAACCGAGUGCGAUCACAGGCAAACUCAGUAAACGGCGUGAGGGUGCUUCGGCACUUUCAUGUGUUAUCGGCUACUGGUUGUCAACGGGCCUGCUCUGUGUUUGUUGUAACCGACACGGGGUGGUCUGGUGGGGCAUGGUGGUAAGAAUAACUGUGCAAGGCACUGGGGUUAUCGGCCUCAAAUGCGUCCUGCGUCCACGUUGCAAGUGUUUGUAGGUAUGGCGUCGCUGCUGCCUGCUCGGUGCUGGGUGUGAUUGGCGUGUCGCCUGCGCAAAGUAGGCCCGUCAAUGGCUCGGUUCGAGGUGGGNNGUUGGUGGCGUUGUCGAUGGCGUAGGGCGCGGUGGGCCUAAUAGU